RNAcentral lists this ribosomal RNA (506 nucleotides) under uncultured bacterium. RNAcentral describes it as "partial 16S ribosomal RNA". It matches the Rfam family "Bacterial small subunit ribosomal RNA", at positions 29 to 523 of the family's 1533-position model. The record is from RNAcentral.
AGUGAACGCUGGCGGUAGGCCUAACACAUGCAAGUCGAACGGCAGCACAGGAGAGCUUGCUCUCUGGGUGGUGAGUGGCGGACGGGUGAGGAAUACAUCGGAAUCUACUUUUUCGUGGGGGAUAACGUAGGGAAACUUACGCUAAUACCGCAUACGACCUACGGGUGAAAGCAGGGGAUCUUCGGACCUUGCGCGAUUGAAUGAGCGGAUGUCGGAUUAGCUAGUUGGCGGGGUAAAGGCCCACCAAGGCGACGAUCCGUAGCUGGUCUGAGAGGAUGAUCAGCCACACUGGAACUGAGACACGGUCCAGACUCCUACGGGAGGCAGCGGUGGGGAAUAUUGGACAAUGGGCGCAAGCCUGAUCCAGCCAUACCGCGUGGGUGAAGAAGGCCUUCGGGUUGUAAAGCCCUUUUGUUGGGAAAGAAAUCCAGCUGGUUAAUCCCCGGUUGGGAUGACGGUACCCAAAGAAUAAGCACCGGCUAACUUCGUGCCAGCCGCCGCGGUAA